GACGAACGCUGGCGGCGUGGAUUAGGCAUGCAAGUCGAACGGUAUCAUCCUUUCGGGGGUGAGAGAGUGGCGAACUGGUGAGUAACACGUAGGUUAUCUACCCUCAAGACGGGGACAACCCAGGGAAACUUGGGCUAAUACCGGAUGUGAGCAACUUUUAGUUGUUUGAAAGGUGGCGUAAGCUGUCGCUUGGGGAUGAGCCUGCGUCCUAUUAGUUAGUUGGUGAGGUAACGGCUCACCUAGGCAAUGAUAGGUAGGCGGCCUUAACGGGUGGUCGCCCACACUGGGAUUGAGAUACGGCCCAGACUCCUACGGGAGGCAGCAGUCGAGAAUAGUCUACAAUGGUCGGAAGACUGAUAGUGCGACGCCGCGUGAACGAUGAAUCCCUUCGGGGUUAAAGUUCUUUUAUAUGUGAGCAGUGCUUCUUAUAUUAACAGUAUGGGAAGAGAGAUAUUAGCAUAUGAAUAAGCAACGGCUAACUCCGUGCCCAGCAGCCGACGGUAAUAC
RNAcentral lists this ribosomal RNA (507 nucleotides) under uncultured bacterium. RNAcentral's name for it is "bacterial SSU rRNA". It matches the Rfam family "Bacterial small subunit ribosomal RNA", at positions 28 to 526 of the family's 1533-position model. The record is from RNAcentral.